UCCCUUUAAAAACCUGGAAAAAAGCUUAUAUUGUGGGUGAUGGGCAACCGUCUAUGGCAAUAAACGGCUUAUGUAAUAAGCGAAGCGGACCUGGGGCAGUUCCCCGGCACCUCCACCAUUUAUGGACAUGUUUUAGGGGGUGAUCCAGGAUCGACGCGCGUGUAAAGAUAGGUUUUUGCUCGGCAUUGUACCACCGUUAUCGGGCUGUUUGUUAUAAAUGCAAACAAAAACAAAGCACGUCGUCGUGUGGCUGCUAACUGCAACCAACGUCGCGUUGCUGCUCUUGCUGCCUAAUUAGGUUGGCGCGGUUUCGGGGGUCCUGGCAACAGAAUGCCCCACU
RNAcentral lists this transfer-messenger RNA (340 nucleotides) under Holosporaceae bacterium. It matches the Rfam family "Alphaproteobacteria transfer-messenger RNA". Rfam says of the family: Bacterial tmRNA, also known as 10Sa RNA or SsrA, is named for its dual tRNA and mRNA-like properties. Its role is to liberate the mRNA from a stalled ribosome. Lineage: Bacteria; Pseudomonadati; Pseudomonadota; Alphaproteobacteria; Holosporales; Holosporaceae. The record is from RNAcentral.